This 468-nucleotide ribosomal RNA is filed under the name uncultured bacterium. RNAcentral describes it as "partial 16S ribosomal RNA". It matches the Rfam family "Bacterial small subunit ribosomal RNA", at positions 28 to 507 of the family's 1533-position model. The record is from RNAcentral.
GACGAACGCUGGCGGUGUGCUUAACAUAUGCAAGUCGAACGGAAAGGCCCUGCUUUUGUGGGGUGCUCGAGUGGCGAACGGGUGAGUAACACGUGAGUAACCUGCCCUUGACUUUGGGAUAACUUCAGGAAACUGGGGCUAAUACCGGAUAGGAGCUCCUGCUGCAUGGUGGGGGUUGGAAAGUUUCGGCGGUUGGGGAUGGACUCGCGGCUUAUCAGCUUGUUGGUGGGGUAGUGGCUUACCAAGGCUUUGACGGGUAGCCGGCCUGAGAGGGUGACCGGCCACAUUGGGACCGAGAUACGGCCCAGACUCCUACGGGAGGCAGCAGUGGGGAAUAUUGCACAAUGGGCGGAAGCCUGAUGCAGCAACGCCGCGUGCGGGAUGACGGCCUUCGGGUUGUAAACCGCUUUCGCCUGUGACGAAGCGUGAGUGACGGUAAUGGGUAAAGAAGCACCGGCUAACUACGUG